RNAcentral lists this microRNA (23 nucleotides) under Macaca mulatta (Rhesus monkey). RNAcentral describes it as "mml-miR-605". Its record names the gene mml-miR-605. Lineage: Eukaryota; Metazoa; Chordata; Mammalia; Primates; Cercopithecidae. The record is from miRBase by way of RNAcentral.
UAAAUCCCACGGUGCCUUCUCCU